UCCAUAUCACGCUGAAACAUCAAUUAUCGUACGAGCUCCGAAGUUAAGUAAGGUCGUGCUUGGUCAGUAACUAGAUGGGUGUCCGCUUGGGAAUACCAAAUGCUGUA
Non-coding RNA from Acanthosepion pharaonis, 107 nucleotides. The record is from the annotation of a GenBank genome assembly. Lineage: Eukaryota; Metazoa; Mollusca; Cephalopoda; Sepiida; Sepiidae.